GACGAACGCUGGCGGCGUGCCUAACACAUGCAAGUCGAACGGAAGUUAGAGCUUCGGUUUUAACUUUAGUGGCGAACGGGUGAGUAACGCGUGAGAAACCUGCCUUUCAGUGGGGGACAGCAGUUGGAAACGACUGCUAAUACCGCAUAAUGUUAUUUGGGGGCAUCCCCGAAUAACCAAAGAUUUAUUGCUGAAAGAUGGUCUCGCGUCUGAUUAGCUAGUUGGUGAGGUAACGGCUCACCAAGGCGACGAUCAGUAGCCGGUCUGAGAGGAUGAACGGCCACAUUGGGACUGAGAUACGGCCCAGACUCCUACGGGAGGCAGCAGUCGGGAAUAUUGCGCAAUGGAGGAAACUCUGACGCAGUGACGCCGCGUAUAGGAAGAAGGUUUUCGGAUUGUAAACUAUUGUAGACAGGGAAGAUACAAGACAGUACCUGUAAAGUAAGCCCCGGCUAACUAUGUG
RNAcentral lists this ribosomal RNA (463 nucleotides) under uncultured bacterium. RNAcentral's name for it is "bacterial SSU rRNA". It matches the Rfam family "Bacterial small subunit ribosomal RNA", at positions 28 to 507 of the family's 1533-position model. The record is from RNAcentral.